This 259-nucleotide non-coding RNA is filed under the name Otolemur garnettii (small-eared galago). Its description in RNAcentral is "bip internal ribosome entry site (IRES)". It matches the Rfam family "bip internal ribosome entry site (IRES)". Rfam says of the family: This family represents the bip internal ribosome entry site (IRES). BiP protein expression has been found to be significantly enhanced by the heat shock response due to IRES-dependent translation. It is thought that this translational mechanism is essential for the survival of cells under stress. Lineage: Eukaryota; Metazoa; Chordata; Mammalia; Primates; Galagidae. The record is from Rfam by way of RNAcentral.
CGCCGGCCAAGACAGCACAGACAGGACUGACUUAGGUGUUUCUCGAACGUGAGAGGUGAGCGCCGCGGCCUCCUGUCCCAGACCUGCCUUCGCCUUGUUCUUGGCUCCUUGUGACCCCGGAGCCCUGCCGCCCUCAGACCCAUAACCUCGCUGCGCUCCUGUGCUGCGGCCUGUGGUAGGAUUGCCUACGACGUCCUGCCUGCCUGGUGACCGACUCGCCGGCAAGAUGAAGCUCUCCCUGGUGGCAGCGAUGCUGCUG